AGUGAACGCUGGCGGUAGGCCUAACACAUGCAAGUCGAGCGGCAGCACAGUAAGAGCUUGCUCUUACGGGUGGCGAGUGGCGGACGGGUGAGGAAUACAUCGGAAUCUACUUUUUCGUGGGGGAUAACGUAGGGAAACUUACGCUAAUACCGCAUACGACCUACGGGUGAAAGCAGGGGAUCUUCGGACCUUGCGCGAUUGAAUGAGCCGAUGUCGGAUUAGCUAGUUGGCGGGGUAAAGGCCCACCAAGGCGACGAUCCGUAGCUGGUCUGAGAGGAUGAUCAGCCACACUGGAACUGAGACACGGUCCAGACUCCUACGAGAGGCAGCAGUGGGGAAUAUUGGACAAUGGGCGCAAGCCUGAUCCAGCCAUACCGCGUGGGUGAAGAAGGCCUUCGGGUUGUAAAGCCCUUUUGUUGGGAAAGAAAAGCAGCAGGUUAAUACCCCGCUGUUCUGACGGUACCCAAAGAAUAAGCACCGGCUAACUUCGUG
Molecule: ribosomal RNA, 492 nt
Filed under: uncultured bacterium
Lineage: Bacteria
Description: partial 16S ribosomal RNA
Rfam family: Bacterial small subunit ribosomal RNA
Source: RNAcentral